This 253-nucleotide ribosomal RNA is filed under the name uncultured bacterium. RNAcentral's name for it is "partial 16S ribosomal RNA". It matches the Rfam family "Bacterial small subunit ribosomal RNA", at positions 524 to 776 of the family's 1533-position model. The record is from RNAcentral.
GACAGAGGUUGCAAACGUUGUUCGGAAUUACUGGGCAUAAAGCGCACGUAGGUGGUCUGCUAAGUCGGGCGUGAAAUCCCUCGGCUCAACCGAGGAAUUGCGUUCGAUACUGGCAGGCUCGAGGUUCGGAGGGGUAAGUGGAACUCCUGGUGGAGCGGUGAAAUGCGUAGAUAUCAGGAGGAACACCGGUGGCGAAAGCGACUUACUGGCCGAAAUCUGACACUGAGGUGCGAAAGCUAGGGUAGCAAACGGG